UUUAAAGCCGUAGAAAUAAAAAUGCGGAAACAACUCACCUCGCGCGUUCCUUUUUCUUCUUCCGCCUCCCGUGAAAAAAAUAAAAAACUUAAAAAUUUCACCUCCCUCCCACUCUCAUGAGAAAAAAAGCCCAAACCCUCCUUUCCCUAAACAUCUCCUCUCUCUCUAUCUCCCCAACCCUCUCUCACGAAUACUCCCCACUCACGAACCCUCUCUCAUGAAUACUUCCCUCUCACAAACCCCUCUUCUCCCCUUAACCAUCCCCUCUCUCUCAAUCUCACGAAGACUCCCCUCUCUCACGCCAUAAUCGACAUCCCUGCUGCUCGAUCGUGUCUCUUUUUGUUCCUUUUUAGAAUCCUCAGAUGAUGCCUCUCAAGUAAACGAUGAUGAAAAUGCACUUAUGGGUUUCUUUGAUGACUCCAAAGAGUAUGUGUAAAAUUGUAGAGGAAUCCAUUCAUUGAUCUGCCGAGAACAUAGCACUAGCCAUUGGUGCACUGUGUAUGGUAAGAAUCUCCAUAUUUUGCUAUUCUGUCAUGUUUUACCCUAAAAUAAUGCAUUUAGAGAGAGAGAGAGAGAGCAUGAACAUGACGAUUUAAAAAGUGGAUUCUAUAAAGAAAACUUUUGUUUGUGCAUUUUCCUUUGAAAGUAUUUUGGGGGAAUCAUUGUUAAUCAUACGUUAGGUAAUCCUAUGACUGGUUGUAGACAAUUAGUUCUUAGCC
This is a long non-coding RNA of Magnolia sinica, 719 nucleotides long. RefSeq lists it as uncharacterized. The record is from RefSeq and is a predicted model, not a curated record. The transcript has 3 exons. Lineage: Eukaryota; Viridiplantae; Streptophyta; Magnoliopsida; Magnoliales; Magnoliaceae.